Molecule: ribosomal RNA, 254 nt
Filed under: uncultured bacterium
Lineage: Bacteria
Description: partial 16S ribosomal RNA
Rfam family: Bacterial small subunit ribosomal RNA
Source: RNAcentral
UACGGGGGGAGCAAGCGUUGUUCGGAUUUACUGGGCGUAAAGGGCGCGUAGGCGGCCAGCACAAGUCAGUUGUGAAAUCUCCGAGCUUAACUCGGAAAGGUCAACUGAUACUGUGCGGCUAGAGUGCGGAAGGGGCAACUGGAAUUCUUGGUGUAGCGGUGAAAUUCGUAGAUAUUCGCAAGAACACCAGUGGCGAAGACGGCUCACUGGCCCGGUACUGACGCUGAGGUGCGAAAGCGUGGGGAGCAAACAGG